Molecule: ribosomal RNA, 257 nt
Filed under: uncultured bacterium
Lineage: Bacteria
Description: partial 16S ribosomal RNA
Rfam family: Bacterial small subunit ribosomal RNA
Source: RNAcentral
UUUCCUACGGGGGGCAGCAGUGGGGAAUAUUGCACAAUGGGGGAAACCCUGAUGCAGCAACGCCGCGUGAGUGAAGAAGUAUUUCGGUAUGUAAAGCUCUAUCAGCAGGGAAGAAGAUGACGGUACCUGAGUAAGAAGCCCCGGCUAACUACGUGCCAGCAGCCGCGGUAAUACGUAGGGGGCAAGCGUUAUCCGGAUUUACUGGGUGUAAAGGGAGCGUAGAGGGUGAGACAAGUCUGAAGUGAAAGCACGGCGCU